Molecule: ribosomal RNA, 808 nt
Filed under: Alteromonas sp. MOLA 422
Lineage: Bacteria; Pseudomonadati; Pseudomonadota; Gammaproteobacteria; Alteromonadales; Alteromonadaceae
Description: bacterial SSU rRNA
Rfam family: Bacterial small subunit ribosomal RNA
Source: RNAcentral
AGAGUUUGAUCAUGGCUCAGAUUGAACGCUGGCGGCAGGCCUAACACAUGCAAGUCGAACGGUAGCAGGAUGUGCUUGCACAUCGCUGACGAGUGGCGGACGGGUGAGUAAUGCUUGGGAACUUGCCUUUGCGAGGGGGAUAACAGUUGGAAACGACUGCUAAUACCGCAUAANGUCUACGGACCAAACGGGGCUUUUAGCUCCGGCGCAAAGAGAGGCCCAAGUGAGAUUAGCUAGUUGGUGAGGUAAAGGCUCACCAAGGCGACGAUCUCUAGCUGUUCUGAGAGGAAGAUCAGCCACACUGGGACUGAGACACGGCCCAGACUCCUACGGGAGGCAGCAGUGGGGAAUAUUGCACAAUGGGGGAAACCCUGAUGCAGCCAUGCCGCGUGUGUGAAGAAGGCCUUCGGGUUGUAAAGCACUUUCAGUUGUGAGGAAAGGUUGGUAGUUAAUACCUGCCAGCUGUGACGUUAACAACAGAAGAAGCACCGGCUAACUCCGUGCCAGCAGCCGCGGUAAUACGGAGGGUGCGAGCGUUAAUCGGAAUUACUGGGCGUAAAGCGCACGCAGGCGGUUUGUUAAGCUAGAUGUGAAAGCCCCGGGCUCAACCUGGGAUGGUCAUUUAGAACUGGCAGACUAGAGUCUUGGAGAGGGGAGUGGAAUUCCAGGUGUAGCGGUGAAAUGCGUAGAUAUCUGGAGGAACAUCAGUGGCGAAGGCGACUCCCUGGCCAAAGACUGACGCUCAUGUGCGAAAGUGUGGGUAGCGAACAGGAUUAGAUACCCUGGUAGUCCACACCGUAAACGCUGU